Molecule: long non-coding RNA, 1196 nt
Filed under: Parus major (Great Tit)
Lineage: Eukaryota; Metazoa; Chordata; Aves; Passeriformes; Paridae
Description: lncRNA (ENSPMJG00000004818.1)
Source: RNAcentral
ACCAGCAGGAGAUGUUGGUGGGAUCAGGAGAAGUUGUGGGAUCAGGAGAGGUUGGUGGAAUCAGGAGAAGUUGGUGGGAUCAGGAGAGGUUGGUGGGAUCAGGGAACAUUGGUGGGAUCAGGAGAAGUUGUGGGAUCAGGAGAAGUUGCUGGGAUCAGGGGAUGUUGGUGGGAUCAGGAGAAGUUGUGGGAUCACCACAGGCUGGAGUUGAUCCCGCUCCUGCCCCUGAUCCCUCCAUGGGUGGAAGGUCCCACCCGGAGCUGCCCCGAGGGUCCCCCCGGUCCCACCUGGGUCUCCGCAGGGAGAUGUUCCGGGUGUUGUUGGAGAUCUCGAUCUGCACCGAGCGGCUCAGCAGCGACCCCAUCCUCGGAUCGGGGGUCUCCUCGGGUCUGGGGUCUCCUCGGGUCUGGGGUCUCCUCGGCUCGGGGGUCUCCUCGGGUCUGGGGUCUCCUCAGCUCGGGGGUCUCCUCGGAUCUGGGGUCUCCUUGGGUCUGGGGUCUCCUCAGCUCUGGGAUCAAUUGCUGUACAAAACCCUCGCUCACGGUGAGAGUCUUCUCCAGGGUGAAGCUGUUCAGGUGUCAGCAGCUUGUGACAAGGGUAGAGAGAGGGACAGAGCCGUGUCCACUACCAGCCUCAGUGUCACCGUGGUCAGAGAGGGAGGGAGAAGAGCGAGGAGAGCAGGAGGAGAGAGGUUCAAGAGGGGGAGGGAGGAACCAGGAGAGAGGGAGGGAGAGCGAGGAGAACCAGGGAGGCUCAGGAGAGAGAGGAGAACAGGAGAAGACCAAAAGGGGACACAGGGGACUCAAGAGGGGACAACGAGAGCGACAGAGAAGGGGGAGAAGCGCGGGAGAGAGGGAAAACCAAGAGAGCCGAGUUCCAGUUCCAACACAAUUUAUCCGUUUCUCCAGGAAUAUUUUCAUUCCCAGGAUCCAAUCAGCAGCAGCCACACCCACCAAAGGACUUUCAUCCACCCUGGAGAAACGACUUCAUUCCCAUUCCCACCUCUAAAAGCUUUCAGAAGUCUUCUCCAGCUGACGGACCUUUGGAUUCUUUAUCAGGAGAAGGAAAUUGUUUCAUCUGUCAGGGGUUCUCCUUUAUCUGGCCGGGUUUUUGUUCUUUGCGUAUUCAUUAACCGGCGCUCGAUGUCCCAUGGCUCAAAGCCAGCUUUCGUUUUUGCUCCUGCUCCAGACUUCUGA